Molecule: non-coding RNA, 666 nt
Organism: Plectropomus leopardus (leopard coralgrouper)
Lineage: Eukaryota; Metazoa; Chordata; Actinopteri; Perciformes; Serranidae
Source: RefSeq, a predicted model, not a curated record
AGCUCGACUGUGGCUCUGCUGUUUCUGUAACAGUGAGACAGGAGUCCUCAGAUAUAUCUGUGUGGUGGAUCUGGCCUCGCUGUAUUCAGUCUGGAUUUAAUCUGAGGGAGUGCAUAAGAUCAGAACCUUUUUCGUCCAUCCUGGAACUCACCUGCUCAGACGUGCUGUUUCAGCCCAACAUCUCCGUGUCCGUGGACGGGGUCUCCGAGGCCCAGCAGCAGGGGUUUCAGGUGUCCAGGGGCUCCAGCUUUAACAUCAGCUGCUCCGUCCAGCCUCAGUAUCCAGGAGGCUCCUUCAAGCUCCGCUUCGCCUCCUCCGACUCAUCACGUGACUACACCCGGCCGGCUGUCAAUCACUCUGCCAGCUUCCCGUUUCCUGCUGCAGAGCCCGCCCACCACGGGACCUACAGCUGCGUUUACGGCGUCCGUGUUUUCUCUCGUGACUUCUCCUCUGAGAGCCGCCUGCUCUCCGUCACCGUCUCAGGCCGGGACGAGGCAGAAGGUGGACAGACGGGAGGACACUGAGCUGGAUCAUCAUAACCCGGGUGAGAGAGCGCCAAGUGAGUCUGAAGGAGCUCAGGGAGCUGAAUGACACCUCCACAGAGCUCCUCUCACCUCCUCAGAGCUCCUCAGAGCUCCUCUCACCUCCACAGAGCUCCUCUCACCU